AACCUCAGUGCAGAUGCAAGCACAAACACCGUUCCUGUAGUGGUCCCCAGAGAGCCUUCCGUGGCAGCACCCUGUGCUGUGUCAGCAGCAUUUGAGCGGUCCCCUUCCCCAGCCCAUUUACCCGAGGAUCCCAAGGUGGCAGAAAAGCAGAGGGAAUCCCACAGUGUGGACAGACUCCCUUCUACCCCUACUACAACUGCAUGUAAAUCAGUGCAGGUGAAUGGAGCAGCAACAGAAUUGCGAAAGCCCAGUUAUGCAGAGAUUUGUCAGAGAACGAGUAAAGAGCCUCCAUCCUCCCCAUUGCAACCCCCAAAAGAACAAAAGCCAAACACUGUCGCCUGUGGGAAGGAGGAGAAGAAGCUUACUGAACCUGUGGAGAGAUACAGAGAACCCCCUGCCCUCAAGUCCACUCCUGGGGUCCCCAAAGAUCAGAGGAGGCAGCCUGGGCGCCGACCCUCGCCUCCAGCUGCUGGGAAGCGUCUAAACAGGGAACAGAACACUCCCCCCAAGUCUCCUCAGUGAAAGCCGGAUGCCUGGGAGGGGUCUGGAAGAGCUGUAUUCACCACAAACGAAGCUCUCCCACUCAGUACGGAAUGAGCCGCUGGUUAGGAGCUUGCAGUGUCUGUGAGGCCCAUGGGAUGCCUGCAAGUUAUUUUCCUUCUGUGAGUCGGAUUUUCCCCCCUUGAAAAAAAAAAUCUAUUUUUCAGGAUUUAAUUAUAUGAUAUAAACCUUAUUUUAGGUUGGUGCUUAACUGGAGGUGAUGCAGAAGUCUGUUUUUCAGGAUAGAAAAUGUAUUUAUCCUAACAAAUGGAUAUUUUUUAUUAAGCCUCCACAUGGCUCUGAAUGCAAGCUAUAUAUGAGUUUUUCUAAAUUAAGGGAACUAUGCUACUUCAUUUUUUUUUU
Onychomys torridus (southern grasshopper mouse) is the source of this 903-nucleotide long non-coding RNA. RefSeq lists it as uncharacterized. NCBI's taxonomy places the organism in Eukaryota, Metazoa, Chordata, Mammalia, Rodentia, Cricetidae. The transcript is spliced from 3 exons. The record is from RefSeq and is a predicted model, not a curated record.